Folsomia candida is the source of this 974-nucleotide long non-coding RNA. RefSeq lists it as uncharacterized. NCBI's taxonomy places the organism in Eukaryota, Metazoa, Arthropoda, Collembola, Entomobryomorpha, Isotomidae. The transcript is spliced from 3 exons. The record is from RefSeq and is a predicted model, not a curated record.
AUUUUAUAUCUCUCUCGCCAAUAAUUUCAGUCCUUGUAAAGACUUUUUUCCCUUUUCUUAACAAGCUCUUGGAUAAAAUGUGGAGACGAUCACUUGUCUUGAAAGAGAAAAUACCUUCUCGUUGAAUUCAGCCAGUGUCAUGCGAGUAAAUAAAUAAAUAUGCGAAGAAUUACUGCACUCGACUGCACCAGCAAACAGGUACUACGACGGCUGGGGAUGGUUUCUUACUUACGAGAUUCGAGUUUCUUCUUGCGAGGAGACCCCAAGAACGAACAGCUAACAGUUGGUUUUCUUCCAUUCAAUAAAGUAUCAUUUACCCAAUGAGGCGUAUGCGUACCAAUCUUAUCAAUAUGACAAGAGUCUCAAGGAGGAUGUGGACCGGAAUUGUCAGUGGAAGUAGAUUUUCGUGUACGUGUCUGUGCUGAGAAAAAGACAAUAUUUAAAUUACGACAGUUGACAAUGUACAAACAUAGAAUGAUUAAGAUUGUUGUUGUGCAUGUACAUAUGCAUAUGAAGUUGGGGGUGGACGAAACACCAGUUAAAACAUGUUAAAAACCACAAUAAUAUAUAACAUAAUGAAUAAAUAUGAAAUUAAGCAUUGGCAAAUAUCUGUAUGCACAUGCUGCUUGUUUGAUGGUCAUACACGUUGCAUUGUUCCUCCGAGAAUAAAAGAAAUGCGAGUUUGUUGUUAAAGAUUGUUAUUGCACAUAAAAGUCACAUUUUAGUAAACCAUUUUUCACCUGCUCCUUCGAAGGUAGGAGGAAGGUGCAUAUGUACUUAGGCAGUGUCAAUCAACAUUAGACACAGUUGCAUACUUGCAUACGUAGUACUGUGUAUGUUCGUCCUUUGCAUGAAUAAAGUUUCAUUUAGCAUUUAGAAUUACAUAACAAAUUCUACAUUGAGCUCGAUUCUGCAUAUUAUUAUUAUUAUUUAUUUAUUAAUCAAGCUCGCUUCUUUACAAAGCUCGUUAUGCC